AACUUAACUUGCCAAUUUUGUGAGAUGGAAUAUUCAAGUAUAUCGACCAAACACCGACAUAUACGGGCAAAACACUCUGGCCAAGAGGGAUCUAGAUCUGAAAGAAUGCAUCAUAUUUUAUGCCCAAUAUGCACAGACAGGACUAUUUCUUUUUUACUUCAUACAGACUUAAUUAAAAAAAAUUUAAAUCCUUUUCAUUGCUUAACUAUUAAUGAAUCUACUUUGCAUUUUAGGAAUUUUGAAGAGUUUUCAGUUUGGAGGACCCAAGAGAAUAGGGAAGUAAAUUACCCUUGCCGUACACGAAAAAAAUAUCAACACGGUGAAGAAAAAAUAUUUUAUGAGUGUAACAGAAGUAAUUAAAAAGGAUUUUUCAGCUCAGCUAAAAAACGAAUUGUGAAAACUGGAGGGGGACAUGUCCUUCAAGAAUUGUAGUUAACAUUUUAACUGAGGGAUUUGUGACGGUAAACUUUGUCGAAAAACAUGUAGGACACAUUGAUGAACUAAGGACCAAGCGAUUAUCAAAAACUGAACAGGAGACUAUUGUCGAAAAACUAAUUGCAGGAGUUUCAAAUAAUAGAAUAAUUGUAGAUUCACGAAUAAUUCAAAAUGAUCAUUUGCAGAGAAUAAACCUUGUCACGAGAGGAGAUUUCGCAUACUUAAUCAGGAAAUUUAAAAUUGUUAAGAGGAGAGAUGCAGAUAACAUGAUAGCAGUAGCACUAAAAGUUGCAAGCAAGAAAAGUGGUGAGAGUUUUUCUGGGUUAAAUGAUGGAGAUUUUGCAAUUGGGUAUAUGAACGGUAUUAUGGAGACAAAGCUUCCAGCUUUUACUUAAGUAAUUUGUAUAGAUAGAACACAUGGAACAAACAAGAAAAAUCUGGAUUUAACUAUAUUAUUGUUAAAGAUGAGAAUAAUAUUGGUUUUCCUGUUGCAUUUUUAUUUUCUAAUAGAUUAGAUCAAGUAAUUCAACAAAUAUUUUUUAGUGCUUUACAGGUUAAACUAGGGGAAACAGUAAAGGCUGAAUACAUAAUGAGUGAUGAUGACCCAAAAUACUACAAUGCUUGGUGCCAAGUGAUGGGUACAAACCAGAAACCUAGAAGACUUCUUUGUACAUGGCAUGUUAUCAAAAAUUGGAAUAUUCAAGCUACCAACAUAAAAUUACCCUAGAAGCUCAUAAGAAAACAGAAGAGAUGGUUGAAAAGGUAAACGUUUCGAGUAAUAGUAAUUUUAAGGUGCAAUCUGGUUCGGUAAGUAAUAAACAUUAUUUUGUAUCCUAUAAUGAGGCAUGUGAUGUGGAAUGCAGAACUGGAUAUUGCAACAAAUGUAAAAUAUGUUUACAUAAUUAGCGCUGUAAAUGUCCAGAAAAUGCUGUUAAAACUGUUAUUUGUAAACAUAUACAAGCUGUAGCAAUGUUUGAGCAGAGAUGCGAGUCUGUUUUAGGUACUGUAAGCUCCGAUGAUGAAAAGAGGAAUGAUUUGCAUAUUGAUGAGCUAUCAACAUUCCGGGUACGUUACCAAGAUGAUAUUACCCAUUUUAUUCAGGAAACGAAGCCCGUUCUCCAUGUAGACACUAUUGCAUUUGAAGAUAGGCGACAGGUUUGAAAAAAUUAAAAUUCGUAAAAAGAAAAAUUGAGAAGCAAACAUAUUAUCCUAAUAAAAAAUAAUAUAACUAUUUAUAAACCUUUCAUUUUCAUAUAAUAUUUUAUUUUUUAGAUAAUUGCAUACUUUAAUCAGUGUUUUAUUUAUUGCAUAGUUUUUAAUUAAUAAAUAAUAAUGGUAUGAUAUAAGAUGUAAAUAAAUUUUAUUGUCAUAUUUUAUAAGUCAAUUUACACUCAAAAUACAAAUAAAAGCAGUAUA
Cylas formicarius (sweet potato weevil) is the source of this 1851-nucleotide long non-coding RNA. RefSeq lists it as uncharacterized. NCBI's taxonomy places the organism in Eukaryota, Metazoa, Arthropoda, Insecta, Coleoptera, Brentidae. The transcript is spliced from 5 exons. The record is from RefSeq and is a predicted model, not a curated record.